This 483-nucleotide ribosomal RNA is filed under the name uncultured bacterium. RNAcentral's name for it is "partial 16S ribosomal RNA". It matches the Rfam family "Bacterial small subunit ribosomal RNA", at positions 28 to 507 of the family's 1533-position model. The record is from RNAcentral.
GACGAACGCUGGCGGCGUGCUUAACACAUGCAAGUCGAACGCUGAAGCUUAGCUUUUGUUGGGUGGAUGAGUGGCGAACGGGUGAGUAACACGUGAGUAACCUGCCCCCUUCUUUGGGAUAACGCCCGGAAACGGGUGCUAAUACUGGAUAUUCACUGGUCUUCGCAUGGGGGUUGGUGGAAAGGGUUUUUCUGGUGGGGGAUGGGCUCGCGGCCUAUCAGCUUGUUGGUGGGGUGAUGGCCUACCAAGGCUUUGACGGGUAGCCGGCCUGAGAGGGUGACCGGUCACAUUGGGACUGAGAUACGGCCCAGACUCCUACGGGAGGCAGCAGUGGGGAAUAUUGCACAAUGGGCGCAAGCCUGAUGCAGCGACGCCGCGUGAGGGAUGGAGGCCUUCGGGUUGUGAACCUCUUUCGCUCAUGGUCAAGCCGCAACAAUGGUUGUGGUGAGGGUAGUGGGUAAAGAAGCGCCGGCUAACUACGUG